CUCAUUCUCUCUUUGUCUGCUGCCGUCCAUGUAACACACAACUUGCUCCUCCUUGCCUUCUGCCAGAAUUGUGAGGCUUCCCCAGCCACUUGGAACUCAUUUGAGCUGAGAUCCUACCUUCCUUUUUAUCAAGAACUUUAACAUCACAGCCAGCUCUUGAUUAUCUGAGCCGGAUAGACUGGUUUGAUGAGCAAGAUAUAGCAGUGACCUGGAUUCUGGAUGGUUCAGAGAAUCACCAGGAAGUCAGGAACAAGAGGUCCUGGGCAGCUGGCACCACAGUGCAGAUCAUGACAUGGAACACAGAGGAAUGGCUGCUGCCAUCUUUGACCAUGGGAUGCCACAUCUCGAAAAACCAACUCUGCUGGUCCCCAGAGCCCGGAUACAGCUACUUGUGCCUCUAUCACUGUGUCCCUGGAAACAGAUGUUGCUGCUAUUACUGGAACUGCCAUAAAAGAUUCUCUGCUGCCUGGCUUUUUUGCUCCCCAAUCUGAGCUUAUGCUAAAUGCCUCACUGUCGCUGCAAGGAGGGGGCCAAUACCCAGGACAGUGAGCACUUGGCCCUUCUUCCAUUUCUACAGUGAAAGAUGGCUCUGACUCCCACCCAAACUCAGAAAGCGGGGAAUUUCCCAAACAUUGGAAAACCUUCAGGUGUGGAGUGCCCUCCCACUAAAAACAUUCCCAUCACUGUCCACUUGUAUCAUUUAGUCCUAGUAUUUUAAAGAAGGUCCCCUUUAGGAAUUGAUUUUGAAUCUUCGUAAAUGAUUUUCCUGCUCCUCUUGAGAUAAUCAUAUGGUUUCUCUUAUUUGACCCAUUGAUAUGUUCUAUAAACAGAUUUACUAAUAUUAAAACAGCUUUGCAUUCUUCAGUAAACCCUAUUUGGCUGUGGUAAAUUAUUCUUUCAAUAUACUGUUGA
Symphalangus syndactylus (siamang) is the source of this 912-nucleotide long non-coding RNA. RefSeq lists it as uncharacterized. The record is from RefSeq and is a predicted model, not a curated record. NCBI's taxonomy places the organism in Eukaryota, Metazoa, Chordata, Mammalia, Primates, Hylobatidae.